RNAcentral lists this non-coding RNA (133 nucleotides) under Chloroflexota bacterium. Its description in RNAcentral is "Chloroflexi bacterium MoCo sequence". It matches the Rfam family "Molybdenum/Tungsten riboswitch aptamer (Moco RNA motif)". The record is from RNAcentral. Lineage: Bacteria; Bacillati; Chloroflexota.
AAUAUCGUGCUUCUCCGACCCUGUGGUCCUAAGGGCUUUGCUAAAGCAGCAAGCCUAUGGUAGCUGGGCGAUAGGGUAUAGCCGGAAACAGCUAUGCCUGCCGUGUUUGCGAAGGAGGGGCUUCCAGCGAGAG